AGGAUGAACGCUGGCGGCGUGCUUAACACAUGCAAGUCGAACGAUGAAGGCUGGAGCUUGCUCUGGCUGGAUUAGUGGCGAACGGGUGAGUAACACGUGAGUAACCUGCCCCAGACUCUGGGAUAAGCGCUGGAAACGGCGUCUAAUACCGGAUACGAGCUUCCACCGCAGUGGUGAGGAGCUAGGAAAGUAAUUUCGGUCUGGGAUGGACUCGCGGCCUAUCAGUCUUGUUGGUGAGGUAAGUGGCUCACCGAAGGCGACGGACGGGU
This 269-nucleotide ribosomal RNA is filed under the name uncultured soil bacterium. RNAcentral's name for it is "partial 16S ribosomal RNA". It matches the Rfam family "Bacterial small subunit ribosomal RNA", at positions 26 to 284 of the family's 1533-position model. The record is from RNAcentral.